This is a long non-coding RNA of Oncorhynchus keta (chum salmon), 1504 nucleotides long. RefSeq lists it as uncharacterized. The transcript has 5 exons. The record is from RefSeq and is a predicted model, not a curated record. NCBI's taxonomy places the organism in Eukaryota, Metazoa, Chordata, Actinopteri, Salmoniformes, Salmonidae.
UCAAUCAAUCAAUGAAUUAGUUGAGUGACGGCAGUGGCCAGACAGUGGAUGUUGUUGUGGUUCCCUGCGGUCAAUCAAUCAAAGCAGAAACCAGAGCCACACAGAAGAAUACCAAACUAAAUGAAAAGACACCACUUUUUUAAAAAUUACAUUUACAGGAACAGUCAACUCCCUAGACCGUAGGAGGUGUCCUUUAGGUCCAGCACUGCCAAUAACAGUCAACUCCCUAGACCGUAGGAGGUGUCCUUUAGGUCCAGCACUGACAAUAACAGACAACUCCCUAGACCGUAGGAGGUGUCCUUUAGGUCCAGCACUGCCAAUAACAGUCAACUCCCUAGACCGUAGGAGGUGUCCUUUAGGUCCAGCACUGACAAUAACAGUCAACUCCCUAGACCGUAGGAGGUGUCCUUUAGGUCCAGCACUGCCAAUAACAGUCAACUCCCUAGACCGUAGGAGGUGUCCUUUAGGUCCAGCACUGCCAAUAACAGACAACUCCCUAGACCGUAGGAGGUGUCCUUUAGGUCCAGCACUGCCAAUAACAGUCAACUCCCUAGACCGUAGGAGGUGUCCUUUAGGUCCAGCACUGACAAUAACAGUCAACUCCCUAGACCGUAGGAGGUGUCCUUUAGGUCCAGCACUGCCAAUAACAGUCAACUCCCUAGACCGUAGGAGGUGUCCUUUAGGUCCAGCACUGCCAAUAACAGUCAACUCCCUAGACCGUAGGAGGUGUCCUUUAGGUCCAGCACUGCCAAUAACAGACAACUCCCUAGACCGUAGGAGGUGUCCUUUAGGUCCAGCACUGCCAAUAACAGACAACUCCCUAGACCGUAGGAGGUGUCCUUUAGGUCCAGCACUGACAAUAACAGUCAACUCCCUAGACCGUAGGAGGUGUCCUUUAGGUCCAGCACUGACAAUAACAGACAACUCCCUAGACCGUAGGAGGUGUCCUUUAGGUCCAGCACUGCCAAUAACAGUCAACUCCCUAGACCGUAGGAGGUGUCCUUUAGGUCCAGCACUGCCAAUAACAGUCAACUCCCUAGACCGUAGGAGGUGUCCUUUAGGUCCAGCACUGCCAAUAACAGACAACUCCCUAGACCGUAGGAGGUGUCCUUUAGGUCCAGCACUGCCAAUAACAGUCAACUCCCUAGACCGUAGGAGGUGUCCUUUAGGUCCAGCACUGACAAUAACAGACAACUCCCUAGACCGUAGGAGGUGUCCUUUAGGUCCAGCACUGCCAAUAACAGUCAACUCCCUAGACCGUAGGAGGUGUCCUUUAGGUCCAGCACUGCCAAUAACAAAAGAAGGUGGCCACACGUUCUAUAGCUCCGAUGUAACAACAACAAUGCUACUGACACUUUUGACGGAAUCCUGUCUCCAUCAGGGUUUCUGAAUCCAUUUUAUUCCAGGUCCAUGUUUAAAACGCAGACAGAGAAAAACCUGAACGCCAUCUCUGAUGUCACCAUCUCUGAUGUCACCAUCUCUCUGACUUUGCUCCACGGUUGUU